This 733-nucleotide long non-coding RNA is filed under the name Fukomys damarensis (Damara mole-rat). Its description in RNAcentral is "lncRNA (ENSFDAG00000031088.1)". The record is from RNAcentral. Lineage: Eukaryota; Metazoa; Chordata; Mammalia; Rodentia; Bathyergidae.
GUCCAUUUAUAUAAAAAGUGUAAUUUAUUCACUAUAUAGUUACGAGUUUUUUGAGUACCAUAGAUAUUCAUGAAGUUUCCUACCCUAGAAGACUUGGAGCCAGUAGUGGAAAGCAGAGCUUCUGGUCCUGAAUUAAUGGACAGCGCUAAUCGAGCUUGUUGGAUAUAGGUGUGACGUGAGUGAACUUGUGACAGUCUCUUGACUCUCUCUGUGUAAGUGACCUUGGAAAUUUAUGAUAUAUCUAUUUCACUCAUUCAUUUCCAGGAGCAGUAAAGGGGUACACUUGGAUAAGGUUUCAAAACCAUUUCCUUCCAAAUUUGACGGCCACUCUAAUGGCAAAGUGGACCAUUUUCAGGAAAGCAAAACCAAGGACCUCUUUCUCUUGCUCAGAGACAGCCACAGCAACCGUUGGUCUCGUUCAACUUACGCUUUCUACUUGUGCCACCUUCUGUGUAAACACACAUCCUAGCACUCUGUCUCCUAGGAGCACUGUCUCUUGUCUCCGGAGUCCCAGCAGAGGAUGAGCAGAGCUUGUCCUUGCAUUCUUGCAUCAACAUCCUGCUUCGUGUCCUCACCCCUCGAGUCCUUUGUCACCAGAGGGUGGGUGGGAAAGAGCUACAUUUGCUUUUGGAAGGUCUCACUCCUGCUGUCAUGUAUUAGUGACUUCUUUCAAAUGCCAUCACCUAACAGUCAGUGACAAGGCCAGCUUCUCUUCCACAGAAGUCUCACCUGG